GUGUCAGCAGCCGCGGUAAUACGUAGGGGGCAAGCGUUGUCCGGAUUUACUGGGUGUAAAGGGUGCUCAGGUGGCUUGGAUAGUCAGUGGUGAAAUCUGAGAGCUUAACUCUCAAACUGCCAUUGAUACUUCCUGGCUUGAGUACGGAAGAGGCUGAUGGAAUUUCAGGUGUAGCAGUGAAAUGCGUAGAUAUCUGAAAGAACACCAGUGGCGAAGGCGGUCAGCUGGUCCGUUACUGACACUAAAGCACGAAAGCGUGGGUAGCAAACAGGAUUAGAAACCCGAGUAGUCC
Molecule: ribosomal RNA, 292 nt
Filed under: uncultured bacterium
Lineage: Bacteria
Description: partial 16S ribosomal RNA
Rfam family: Bacterial small subunit ribosomal RNA
Source: RNAcentral